AGAAAUUUAGGUUAAACAGACCGGAAGCCUUCAAAGCUUCAAGCAAGCCCCCUACGCUUAAUUUCUG
RNAcentral lists this transfer RNA (67 nucleotides) under Tupaia belangeri (northern tree shrew). Its description in RNAcentral is "tRNA-Trp". Lineage: Eukaryota; Metazoa; Chordata; Mammalia; Scandentia; Tupaiidae. The record is from RNAcentral.